UGAAUUGAUGAUGAAAACAUGGAGCUCCCCUACGAGGCGGAGAAUGGACUCGGGUUUGUAGAAUUUGAAGAAGAUGAAGUUGAAAAUGGAGGAAAAUUCAAGUAACCUUCAAACUUACAACUCCUUCCUACUUAGAUUCUUUCUUCUUCUUCGAUCCUUCUUUCGUUUGUAGGUUCAAAUUUGUUUGUGAUGCUCUGUGUUAUUGUUGAUUUCGUGUGAGAGUGAGGAUUCAAAGUACUUAGAACGAUUGAGUGAG
RNAcentral lists this long non-coding RNA (256 nucleotides) under Lathyrus oleraceus (garden pea). RNAcentral's name for it is "Pisum sativum (pea) long non-coding RNA (PSAT_LNC024130)". Lineage: Eukaryota; Viridiplantae; Streptophyta; Magnoliopsida; Fabales; Fabaceae. The record is from RNAcentral.